UUGAUACCCCACUAUACCUAGUCAUAAACUUUUAACUUACACCCACAUCGCCUGGGAACUACGAGCUAAGCUUAAAACCCAAGGGACUUGACGGUACCCUGCAUCCACCUAGAGGAGCCUGUCCUAUAAUCGAUAACCCCCGUUUAACCUCACCACUUUUAGUUUCCAGCAUGUAUACUUCCGUCGUCAGCUUACCAUGUGAAUGUCAUUAAGUAAGCUUAAUGUAUUUUCUACAACACGUCAGGUCAAAGUGCAGCAAAUAUAGUGGGAAGAGAUGGGCUACACUUUCUAUCUUAGAAAACACGAAAGAUUUUUAUGAAACACAAUCAGAAGGCGGAUUUAGUAGUAAACGGAACAUAGAGUUUUCCUUUUAACUCGGCACCGGGGUGUGUACACACCGC
RNAcentral lists this ribosomal RNA (401 nucleotides) under Pristimantis cf. stictogaster NMP-P6V75061. Its description in RNAcentral is "partial small subunit ribosomal RNA". It matches the Rfam family "Bacterial small subunit ribosomal RNA", at positions 779 to 1393 of the family's 1533-position model. The record is from RNAcentral. Lineage: Eukaryota; Metazoa; Chordata; Amphibia; Anura; Strabomantidae.